CCCUUAGAUGUUCUGGGCCGCACGCGCGCUACACUGAUGCAUUCAACGAGUUUUACCUUGGCCGAGAGGCCUGGGCAAUCUUUUAAACCUGCAUCGUGAUAGGGAUAGAUUAUUGCAAUUAUUAAUCUUGAACGAGGAAUUCCUAGUAAACGCGAAUCAUCAAUUCGCAUUGAUUACGUCCCUGCCCUUUGUACACACCGCCCGUCGCUCCUACCGAUUGAAUGCUCAGGUGAGCCAUUCGGACUUUCAUCAUGCUGGUUUCCAGUUUUGAUGAAGGAAAGUCUUGCGAACCUUAUCAUUUAGAGGAAGGAGAAGUCGUAACA
RNAcentral lists this ribosomal RNA (323 nucleotides) under uncultured eukaryote. RNAcentral describes it as "partial 18S ribosomal RNA". It matches the Rfam family "Eukaryotic small subunit ribosomal RNA", at positions 1470 to 1796 of the family's 1831-position model. The record is from RNAcentral.